Molecule: ribosomal RNA, 440 nt
Filed under: uncultured bacterium
Lineage: Bacteria
Description: partial 16S ribosomal RNA
Rfam family: Bacterial small subunit ribosomal RNA
Source: RNAcentral
CCUACGGGAGGCAGCAGUGGGGAAUAUUGCACAAUGGGGGAAACCCUGAUGCAGCGACGCCGCGUGAGCGAUGAAGUAUUUCGGUAUGUAAAGCUCUAUCAGCAGGGGAGAAGAUGACGGUACCUGACUAAGAAGCCCCGGCUAACUACGUGCCAGCAGCGGUGGUAAUACGUAGGGGGCAAGCGUUAUCCGGAUUGACUGGGAGUAAAGGGAGCGUAGAGGGCGAUGCAAGACAGAUGUGAAAGCCCGGGGCUCAACCCCGGGACUGCAUUUGGAACUGUGUGGCUGGAGUGUCGGAGAGGCAGGCGGAAUUCCUAGUGUAGCGGUGAAAUGCGUAGAUAUUAGGAGGAACACCAGUGGCGAAGGCGGCCUGCUGGACGAUGACUGACGUUGAGGCUCGAAAGCGUGGGGAGCAAACAGGAUUAGAUACCCCGGUAGUC